UCAGGCUCCAUGCUUUCUGUGCAGUAUGUAAAUUGAUUCAUUGUCAUACUAAUUAUAAAUGGCUAGUAUUAUUGCUGCUUUACAGAGCUCUUGCAUGGUGGUAGAACCGAGGACAGCCUAGACCUUCUGAUUGUCAACUCCUUGUUCCAUUGUGUCCAAACCUACAUGUCUGAACUCCUCUCAUCAAAGACUUCUCAAAGUUAUUAAUAACUGGGGAUCACGUAUUCAGUAAUUACACACAUCAGGCUCCAUGCUUUCUGUGCAGUAUGUAAAUUGAUUCAUUGUCAUACUAAUUAUAAAUGGCUAGUAUUAUUGCUGCUUUACAAAUGAGGCAUAUGACACACAGGGAGCUAAAUAAUUUGCCUAAGGUCACCCCACUUGUAAAUGAUGAAGCCAGGACUCAAGGCCAGGUCUGGCCACCCCUGAAUUUAAUAGCUUUAUCCUCUAUAUCUCUGUUUUCUCCCAGACCAAGGUGUCUGUACCUCUCUGCCAACAGAGAAAAGGGUUCAUUCAUUCAUCAAAUGUUUGUUGAGCAUCUAUUGUGACUCAGGCAAUAUCCUAGAUCAAGGAUUGUCAAACUUUUUCUAUAAAGGACAAGAGAGCAAACAUUUUAGGUCUCCUGGGUCAUACGGUCAGUCACUGUGAUUCAACUCUGCUGUUGUAGUACAAGAUUGUGAAAGCAGCCAUAGAUGAUAUGUCAAUGAAUGAGCAUGGUUGUGUUCCAAUAAAAUGUCACUUGCGAAAGCAGGCUGUGGGCUGGGUUUGGGCCAAGAGUUCUAUCCCUGCUCUAGGCACUGGAGUUACAAUAGCAAAAAAUUAAAAUAAAGUAAAAUAAAAACAC
Molecule: long non-coding RNA, 841 nt
Filed under: Homo sapiens (human)
Lineage: Eukaryota; Metazoa; Chordata; Mammalia; Primates; Hominidae
Description: non-protein coding lnc-CD58-3:4
Source: RNAcentral